Molecule: ribosomal RNA, 489 nt
Filed under: uncultured bacterium
Lineage: Bacteria
Description: bacterial SSU rRNA
Rfam family: Bacterial small subunit ribosomal RNA
Source: RNAcentral
AGUGAACGCUGGCGGCAGGCCUAAUACAUGCAAGUCGAACGGCAGCACAGCAGAGCUUGCUCUGUGGGUGGCGAGUGGCGGACGGGUGAGGAAUACAUGGGAAUCUGCCCAGUCGUGGGGGAUAACGUAGGGAAACUUACGCUAAUACCGCAUGCGCCCUUCGGGGGAAAGCCGGGGACCUUCGGGCCUGGCGCGAUUGGAUGAGCCCAUGUCGGAUUAGCUAGUUGGCGGGGUAAUGGCCCACCAAGGCGAUGAUGGUUAGCUGGUCUGAGAGGAUGGCCAGCCACACUGGAACUGAGACACGGUCCAGACUCCUACGGGAGGCAGCAGUGAGGAAUCUUGCGCAAUGGGGGAAACCCUGACGCAGCAACGCCGCGUGAGUGAGGAAGGCCCUCGGGUCGUAAAGCUCUGUCAGGUGGAAGAAAUCGAUGAAGGUGAACAACCUCCAUCCUUGACGGUACCACCAGAGGAAGCACCGGCUAACUCCGU